UACGGAGGAUCCGAGCGUUAUCCGGAUUUAUUGGGUUUAAAGGGUGCGCAGGCGGGAUGUUAAGUCGGCGGUGAAAUUUUGCGGCUCAACCGUAAAAGUGCCUUCGAAACUGGCAUUCUUGAGUAUGGAUGAAGUAGGCGGAAUUUGUGGUGUAGCGGUGAAAUGCUUAGAUAUCACGAGGAACUCCGAUUGCGCAGGCAGCUUACUAAACCAUAACUGACGCUCAUGCACGAAGGCGUGGGGAUCAAACAGGAUUAGAUACCCUGGUAGUCCACGCAGUAAACGAUGAUUACUAGUUGUUUGCGAUACACAGUAAGCGACCGAGCGAAAGCAUUAAGUAAUCCACCUGGGGAGUACGUUCGCAAGAAUGAA
This 372-nucleotide ribosomal RNA is filed under the name uncultured bacterium. Its description in RNAcentral is "bacterial SSU rRNA". It matches the Rfam family "Bacterial small subunit ribosomal RNA", at positions 524 to 898 of the family's 1533-position model. The record is from RNAcentral.